UACGAAGGGGACUAGCGUUGUUCGGAUUUACUGGGCGUAAAGGGCGCGUAGGCGGUCGUGACAAGUCACUUGUGAAAUCUCCGGGCUUAACUCGGAACGGUCAAGUGAUACUGUCGGACUAGAGUACAGAAGGGGCAACUGGAAUUCUCGGUGUAGCGGUGAAAUGCGUAGAUAUCGAGAGGAACACCUGCGGCGAAGGCGGGUUGCUGGGCUGAUACUGACGCUGAGGCGCGAAAGCGUGGGGAGCAAACAGG
This 254-nucleotide ribosomal RNA is filed under the name uncultured bacterium. RNAcentral's name for it is "partial 16S ribosomal RNA". It matches the Rfam family "Bacterial small subunit ribosomal RNA", at positions 524 to 776 of the family's 1533-position model. The record is from RNAcentral.